Nelumbo nucifera (sacred lotus) is the source of this 873-nucleotide long non-coding RNA. RefSeq lists it as uncharacterized. The record is from RefSeq and is a predicted model, not a curated record. NCBI's taxonomy places the organism in Eukaryota, Viridiplantae, Streptophyta, Magnoliopsida, Proteales, Nelumbonaceae.
UCAAAUUUGCCCGCUUUUUCCUCUUCCAUGGAGUAGCUUCUCUCGCUCUGACCUUGGACGAUUUACAACGAACUACAGUGACCCACGACAACCAGCGACAGGUGGUUUUGCAGCGGUGACCCUUGGCUUCUCUGGUUCUCACUCAUUCUCUCUGUUUCUCACGAAAACCAUUUUCGUUCUUUCUCUAUUUCUCAAUUUCUCUCGUUCAUACCUACAACAAUUUACUGAGAACUACAGUGACCCACGGCGAAACUGCAAGAAACAUGAGCACGUCUUGUUUCAAAAACGAUUAAUUAAGGAGUGCUGCAGAGAAAAAUUAUAAAGAUUACAUGCCACAUAACCAUAGAUUUACUGGAAUGAUCCAUCGGGAACAGGAUUCAUGCCCACUGUAUGAAUAGCUCGGUGAUGGGAAAGCUGGUCUGCUCAUCGCCACAGAGACCAAGAAAUGAGUGGAAAGAAGCAUAACUAAGGACGGGAACUUCUGUCACUGUGAAAUAGGAGAAGAGGUUCAGUUUUGUUGGCGGUCUCGUAUUACUAGUUUUGGGGAUUGCAGAAAUAGGACGUAGUUGAGCCCUAACAUCAGAGAGUUUCUUAUGACUCUUAGUAGAGAGGACUCCCUCUGAGUACAAGAAAGGAAACGGGCUAGCGCUACUUAGUACAAGAAAAAUCGUGAAUUCCUGUUGCAGUGUGUUUGGGAUUCUGAUUGCUUUUGUUAUUUGGCACAAGGGGAAAGCUGAGAAUUACAAGCUGUCCGUCACCUAAUUUAUUCAUCAGUUUCUUUGAACGAAUUAUUGCAGUUUUGAAUUUUUCUAGAUUCAUGAACCUUUAAUGGCGGAUAAUAGGAAUGGAAAUGUCAAGGCUCCAAAUGGUAAA